UUUACGAAAAAAUACUUCAGAGUGUACCUGAAAGGGUUCACUGCGAAGUUCGUCACACUAUCAUUAACUGAAUCCAUAGGUUAAUGAGGCGAACCGGGGGAACUGAAACAUCUAAGUACCCCGAGGAAAAGAAAUCAACCGAGAUUCCCCCAGUAGCGGCGAGCGAACGGGGAGGAGCCCAGAGCCUGAAUCAGCAUGUGUGUUAGUGGAAGCGUCUGGAAAGGCGCGCGAUACAGGGUGACAGCCCCGUACACAAAAGCGCAUGUGCUGUGAGCUCGAUGAGUAGGGCGGGACACGUGGUAUCCUGUCUGAAUAUGGGGGGACCAUCCUCCAAGGCUAAAUACUCCUGACUGACCGAUAGUGAACCAGUACCGUGAGGGAAAGGCGAAAAGAACCCCGGCGAGGGGAGUGAAAAAGAACCUGAAACCGUGUACGUACAAGCAGUGGGAGCCCCACCACUAAGCCAGUGGUGAACUCCACAUCCGCAUCCUUUGCUGAGGAUACGGUUAACGGAGCGAAAGCGACGUUCAACCGCAAAACAAGCAGAGGGGGCUUAGUACCCCGGCGAGGGGAGUGAAAAAGAACCUGAAACCGUGUACGUACAAGCAGUGGGAGCACCCUUCGGGAACCCCGGCGAGGGGAGUGAAAAAGAACCUGAAACCGUGUACGUACAAGCAGUGGGAGCACAGGUUUACCUGUGUGACUGCGUACCUUUUGUAUAAUGGGUCAGCGACUUAUAUUCUGUAGCAAGGUUAACCGUAUAGGGGAGCCGGAGGGAAACCGAGUCUUAAUUGGGCGUUAAGUUGCAGGGUAUAGACCCGAAACCCGGUGAUCUAGCCAUGGGCAGGUUGAAGGUUGGGUAACACUAACUGGAGGACCGAACCGACUAAUGUUGAAAAAUUAGCGGAUGACCUGUGGCUGGGGGUGAAAGGCCAAUCAAACCGGGAGAUAGCUGGUUCUCCCCGAAAGCUAUUUAGGUAGCGCCUCGUGAAUUCAUCUCCGGGGGUAGAGCACUGUUUCGGCUAGGGGGCCAUCCCGGCUUACCAACCCGAUGCAAACUGCGAAUACCGGAGAAUGUUAUCACGGGAGACACACGGCGGGUGCUAACGUCCGUCGUGAAGAGGGAAACAACCCAGACCGCCAGCUAAGGUCCCAAAGUCAUGGUUAAGUGGGAAACGAUGUGGGAAGGCCCAGACAGCCAGGAUGUUGGCUUAGAAGCAGCCAUCAUUUAAAGAAAGCGUAAUAGCUCACUGGUCGAGUCGGCCUGCGCGGAAGAUGUAACGGGGCUAAACCAUGCACCGAAGCUGCGGCAGCGACGCUGAUGCGUUGUUGGGUAGGGGAGCGUUCUGUAAGCCUGCGAAGGUGAUGCGCGGAAGAUGUAACGGGGCUAAACCAUGCACCGAAGCUGCGGCAGCGAACGUAUCACCCAAGACAACUUUACGGAGUUGACGAUUGACGGAGCGAAGCGACGUCAAAGCGUUCAUUAAAGUCGAGUUGGCUUAGGGAUACGUUCGUUGGGUAGGGGAGCGUUCUGUAAGCCUGUGAAGGUGUGUCGUGAGGCAUGCUGGAGGUAUCAGAAGUGCGAAUGCUGACAUAAGUAACGAUAAAGCGGGUGAAAAGCCCGCUCGCCGGAAGACCAAGGGUUCCUGUCCAACGUUAAUCGGGGCAGGGUGAGUCGACCCCUAAGGCGAGGCCGAAAGGCGUAGUCGAUGGGAAACGGGUUAAUAUUCCCGUACUUGGUGUUACUGCGAAGGGGGGACGGAGAAGGCUAUGUUGGCCGGGCGACGGUUGUCCCGGUUUAAGCGUGUAGGUGUGUGUUCCAGGUAAAUCCGGUUCACUUUAACACUGAGGCGUGACGACGAGGCACUACGGUGCUGAAGCAACAAAUGCCCUGCUUCCAGGAAAAGCCUCUAAGCAUCAGGUAACAUCAAAUCGUACCCCAAACCGACACAGGUGGUCAGGUAGAGAAUACCAAGGCGCUUGAGAGAACUCGGGUGAAGGAACUAGGCAAAAUGGUGCCGUAACUUCGGGAGAAGGCACGCUGACACGUAGGUGAAGUGAUUUACUCAUGGAGCUGAAGUCAGUCGAAGAUACCAGCUGGCUGCAACUGUUUAUUAAAAACACAGCACUGUGCAAACACGAAAGUGGACGUAUACGGUGUGACGCCUGCCCGGUGCCGGAAGGUUAAUUGAUGGGGUCAGCGCAAGCGAAGCUCCUGAUCGAAGCCCCGGUAAACGGCGGCCGUAACUAUAACGGUCCUAAGGUGCGAAAUUCCUUGUCGGGUAAGUUCCGACCUGCACGAAUGGCGUAAUGAUGGCCAGGCUGUCUCCACCCGAGACUCAGUGAAAUUGAACUCGCUGUGAAGAUGCAGUGUACCCGCGGCAAGACGGAAAGACCCCGUGAACCUUUACUAUAGCUUGACACUGAACAUUGAGCCUUGAUGUGUAGGAUAGGUGGGAGGCUUUGAAGUGUGGACGCCAGUCUGCAUGGAGCCGACCUUGAAAUACCACCCUUUAAUGUUUGAUGUUCUAACGUGGACCCGUAAUCCGGGUUGCGGACAGUGUCUGGUGGGUAGUUUGACUGGGGCGGUCUCCUCCUAAAGAGUAACGGAGGAGCACGAAGGUUGGCUAAUCCUGGUCGGACAUCAGGAGGUUAGUGCAAUGGCAUAAGCCAGCUUGACUGCGAGCGUGACGGCGCGAGCAGGUGCGAAAGCAGGUCAUAGUGAUCCGGUGGUUCUGAAUGGAAGGGCCAUCGCUCAACGGAUAAAAGGUACUCCGGGGAUAACAGGCUGAUACCGCCCAAGAGUUCAUAUCGACGGCGGUGUUUGGCACCUCGAUGUCGGCUCAUCACAUCCUGGGGCUGAAGUAGGUCCCAAGGGUAUGGCUGUUCGCCAUUUAAAGUGGUACGCGAGCUGGGUUUAGAACGUCGUGAGACAGUUCGGUCCCUAUCUGCCGUGGGCGCUGGAGAACUGAGGGGGGCUGCUCCUAGUACGAGAGGACCGGAGUGGACGCAUCACUGGUGUUCGGGUUGUCAUGCCAAUGGCACUGCCCGGUAGCUAAAUGCGGAAGAGAUAAGUGCUGAAAGCAUCUAAGCACGAAACUUGCCCCGAGAUGAGUUCU
This 3119-nucleotide ribosomal RNA is filed under the name Salmonella enterica subsp. enterica serovar Typhimurium. RNAcentral describes it as "bacterial LSU rRNA". It matches the Rfam family "Bacterial large subunit ribosomal RNA". Lineage: Bacteria; Pseudomonadati; Pseudomonadota; Gammaproteobacteria; Enterobacterales; Enterobacteriaceae. The record is from RNAcentral.